GGGCGGAUAGCUCAGCUGGUUAGAGCGCCUGCCUUACAAGCAGGAUGUCGGGGGUUCGAGUCCCUCUCUGCCCACCA
RNAcentral lists this transfer RNA (77 nucleotides) under Acidobacteriota bacterium. Its description in RNAcentral is "tRNA-Val". It matches the Rfam family "tRNA". Rfam says of the family: Transfer RNA (tRNA) molecules are approximately 80 nucleotides in length. Their secondary structure includes four short double-helical elements and three loops (D, anti-codon, and T loops). RNAcentral also lists the same sequence under 2 other names. The record is from RNAcentral. Lineage: Bacteria; Pseudomonadati; Acidobacteriota.